CCCUUAGAUGUUCUGGGCCGCACGCGCGCUACACUGAUGAACGCAACGAGACCACCUGUACCGAAAGGCAUGGGUAAACUUGUGAAAGUUCAUCGUGAUGGGGAUAGAUUAUUGCAAUUAUUAAUCUUCAACGAGGGAUUCCUAGUAAGCGCGAGUCAUCAGCUCGCGUUGAUUACGUCCCUGCCCUUUGUACACACCGCCCGUCGCUCCUACCGAUUGAAUGGUCCGGUGAAAUCUUCGGAUUGCUGGAUAGGACUUCAUUGACCUAUCUGCGAGAAGUUGCUUGAACCUUAUCAUUUAGAGGAAGGAGAAGUCGUANCA
RNAcentral lists this ribosomal RNA (321 nucleotides) under uncultured eukaryote. RNAcentral's name for it is "partial 18S ribosomal RNA". It matches the Rfam family "Eukaryotic small subunit ribosomal RNA", at positions 1470 to 1796 of the family's 1831-position model. The record is from RNAcentral.